This 67-nucleotide transfer RNA is filed under the name Charybdis feriata. RNAcentral describes it as "tRNA-Ser". The record is from RNAcentral. Lineage: Eukaryota; Metazoa; Arthropoda; Malacostraca; Decapoda; Portunidae.
GAUUGUUUAGUUUAUCUAAAAUAGAUAUUUUGAAAGUAUCAGAAAAGAAAAAAAGUCUUAACAAUCU